CAUCUAAGUGUGAAGCCCACCUCAAGAUGAGAUUUCCCAUUUCUUUAAGAAAGUAAGAUCCCUGAGAGAUGAUCAGGUAGAUAGGUCAGGAGUGGAAGUACAGUGAUGUAUGGAGCGGACUGAUACUAAUCGAUCGAGGACUUAACCAAU
Molecule: ribosomal RNA, 150 nt
Filed under: Enterococcus faecium
Lineage: Bacteria; Bacillati; Bacillota; Bacilli; Lactobacillales; Enterococcaceae
Description: partial 23S ribosomal RNA
Rfam family: Bacterial large subunit ribosomal RNA
Source: RNAcentral